GACGAACGCUGGCGGCGUGCCUAACACAUGCAAGUCGAGCGAUGAAACCCUUCGGGGUGGAUUAGCGGCGGACGGGUGAGUAACACGUGGGUAACCUGCCUUAUAGAGGGGGAUAGCCUUCCGAAAGGAAGAUUAAUACCGCAUAACAUAUUUUUAUCACAUGGUAGAAAUAUCAAAGGAGUAAUCCGCUAUAAGAUGGACCCGCGGCGCAUUAGCUAGUUGGUGAGGUAACGGCUCACCAAGGCGACGAUGCGUAGCCGACCUGAGAGGGUGAUCGGCCACAUUGGAACUGAGACACGGUCCAGACUCCUACGGGUGGCUG
RNAcentral lists this ribosomal RNA (322 nucleotides) under uncultured Bacillota bacterium. RNAcentral describes it as "bacterial SSU rRNA". It matches the Rfam family "Bacterial small subunit ribosomal RNA", at positions 28 to 351 of the family's 1533-position model. The record is from RNAcentral. Lineage: Bacteria; Bacillati; Bacillota.